Molecule: ribosomal RNA, 113 nt
Filed under: Escherichia coli
Lineage: Bacteria; Pseudomonadati; Pseudomonadota; Gammaproteobacteria; Enterobacterales; Enterobacteriaceae
Also listed under: 4 other names
Source: RNAcentral
GGCGGCCUUAGCGCGGUGGUCCCACCUGACCCCAUGCCGAACUCAGAAGUGAAACGCCGUAGCGCCGAUGGUAGUGUGGGGUUUCCCCAUGCGAGAGUAGGGAACUGCCAGGC